CAGGAUGUAACUCAGUGGUAGAGUAUGUGCUUUGUAUGGAUGAGGUUCUGGGUUCAAUUCACCAUCUUCA
Albula goreensis is the source of this 70-nucleotide non-coding RNA. Lineage: Eukaryota; Metazoa; Chordata; Actinopteri; Albuliformes; Albulidae. The record is from the annotation of a GenBank genome assembly.